GGAUGAACGCUGGCGGCGUGCCUACUACCUGCAAGUCGAGCGAACGGACGAGAAGCUUGCUUCUCUGAUGUUAGCGGCGGACGGGUGAGUAACACGUGGAUAACCUACCUAUAAGACUGGGAUAACUUCGGGAAACCGGAGCUAAUACCGGAUAAUAUUUUGAACCGCAUGGUUCAAAAGUGAAAGACGGUCUUGCUGUCACUUAUAGAUGGAUCCGCGCUGCAUUAGCUAGUUGGUAAGGUAACGGCUUACCAAGGCAACGAUGCAUAGCCGACCUGAGAGGGUGAUCGGCCACACUGGAACUGAGACACGGUCCAGACUCCUACGGGAGGCAGCAGUAGGGAAUCUUCCGCAAUGGGCGAAAGCCUGACGGAGCAACGCCGCGUGAGUGAUGAAGGUCUUCGGAUCGUAAAACUCUGUUAUUAGGGAAGAACAUAUGUGUAAGUAACUGUGCACAUCUUGACGGUACCUAAUCAGAAAGCCACGGCUAACUACGUG
Molecule: ribosomal RNA, 498 nt
Filed under: uncultured bacterium
Lineage: Bacteria
Description: partial 16S ribosomal RNA
Rfam family: Bacterial small subunit ribosomal RNA
Source: RNAcentral